This 349-nucleotide ribosomal RNA is filed under the name uncultured bacterium. RNAcentral describes it as "partial 16S ribosomal RNA". It matches the Rfam family "Bacterial small subunit ribosomal RNA", at positions 338 to 698 of the family's 1533-position model. The record is from RNAcentral.
CCUACGGGAGGCAGCAGUCGAGAAUCAUUCACAAUGGAGGAAACUCUGAUGGUGCGACGCCGCGUGGGGGAAUGAAGGUCUUCGGAUUGUAAACCCCUGUUAUGUGGGAGCAAAUUAAAAUGAUCGUACCACAAGAGGAAGAGACGGCUAACUCUGUGCCAGCAGCCGCGGUAAUACAGAGGUGUCAAGCGUUAUUCGGAAUCACUGGGCGGAAAGGGUGGGUAGGCGUUUUCGUAAGUGGGGGGUGAAAGGCGCGGGCUCAACCCCCGGACGGCACAUGAUACUGCGAGACUAGAGAAUAGGUGGGGGAACCGGAAUGCUCGGUGUAGCAGUGAAAUGCGUAGAUAUC